Molecule: ribosomal RNA, 253 nt
Filed under: uncultured bacterium
Lineage: Bacteria
Description: partial 16S ribosomal RNA
Rfam family: Bacterial small subunit ribosomal RNA
Source: RNAcentral
UACAGAGGUCUCAAGCGUUGUUCGGAAUUAUUGGGCGUAAAGGGCUCGUAGGCGGUUUGUCGCGUCGGGAGUGAAAUCAUCUGGCUUAACUGGGUGCUUGCUUUCGAUACGGGCAGACUAGAGGUAUGCAGGGGAGAACGGAAUUCCUGGUGUAGCGGUGAAAUGCGCAGAUAUCAGGAGGAACACCGGUGGCGAAGGCGGAUCUCUGGGCCAUUACUGACGCUGAGGAGCGAAAGCGUGGGGAGCGAACAGG